UCGCGGCUUAUCACCGGCAGUCCCCUUAGAGUGCCCAACUAAAUGAUGGCAACUAAGGGCGAGGGUUGCGCUCGUUGCGGGACUUAACCCAACAUCUCACGACACGAGCUGACGGCAGCCAUGCAGCACCUGUGUUCCGGUUCCCUUUCAGGCACACCCACCUUUCAGCAGGCUUCCAGACAUGUCAAGGGUAGGUAAGGUUGUUCGCGUUGCAUCGAAUUAAACCACAUGCUCCACCGCUUGUGCAGGCCCCCGUCAAUUCCUUUGAGUUUUAGCCUUGCGGCCGUACUCCCCAGGCGGGGCGCUUAAUGCGUUAGCUGCGGCACGGAUCCCGUGGAAGGGAACCCACACCUAGCGCCCAACGUUUACGGCGUGGACUAC
This 381-nucleotide unclassified non-coding RNA is filed under the name uncultured bacterium. RNAcentral's name for it is "contains 16S-23S intergenic spacer region". The record is from RNAcentral.